ACGUGACGUUGCUUAUAAACCUCAAGAAUACCAUGUCAAGACACGCAAAUGUGAGCCAGAUGCGGGUGGAGAUAUUGUGAAGAUAUGUGAGAGGUUGCGGGAUGAGGAUGGUCACAUUAUUCAGCAUCCUGAGGUGGCAUUUGACAUUUUGAAUCUCAUUUGCAUCCUUGUUUCCAUAUAUGUGUACAAAUGUACUUAUGUUUUGUGUAGCAGUUUAUAUAAUUAUCACCUAAAAUUUUACCUGAAGUAACAAUUGAACUUUUUUUUGGAAAUAGUCUAUGCAUAAAACUCCAUUUACAGUAAAACCAUUUUUAUUUUUGUAAAUGGUGUAUGCAUAAAACUCCAUUUACAGUAAAACCAUUUUUAUUUUUGUAAAUGGUGUAUGCAUAAAACUCCAUUUACAGUAAAACCAUUUUUAUUUUUGUAAAUGGUG
RNAcentral lists this unclassified non-coding RNA (433 nucleotides) under Hevea brasiliensis (rubber tree). Lineage: Eukaryota; Viridiplantae; Streptophyta; Magnoliopsida; Malpighiales; Euphorbiaceae. The record is from RNAcentral.